UACAGAGGGUGCAAGCGUUAUCCGGAUUCACUGGGUUUAAAGGGUGCGUAGGUGGUUUUGUAAGUCAGUGGUGAAAGCCCGGAGCUCACCUCUGGAACUGCCAUUGAUACUGCUUAACUUGAAUCAAGUAGAGGUGGAUGGAAGAUUACAUGUAGCGGUGAAAUGCUUAGAGAUGUAAUAGAACACCGAUUGCGAAGGCAGUUCACUAUGCUUGUAUUGACACUGAGGCACGAAAGCGUGGGGAUCAAAAAGG
This 253-nucleotide ribosomal RNA is filed under the name uncultured bacterium. RNAcentral's name for it is "partial 16S ribosomal RNA". It matches the Rfam family "Bacterial small subunit ribosomal RNA", at positions 524 to 776 of the family's 1533-position model. The record is from RNAcentral.